Small nuclear RNA from Erinaceus europaeus (western European hedgehog), 107 nucleotides. The record is from Ensembl. NCBI's taxonomy places the organism in Eukaryota, Metazoa, Chordata, Mammalia, Eulipotyphla, Erinaceidae.
GUGCUCCCUUUGGAAGCACAUAUGCUAAAAUUGGAAUGAUACGGAAAAGAUUAGCAUGGUCCCUGCACAAGAAUGACACACAAAUUUGUGAAGCAUUGAAUAUUUUU